RNA transcript from Rhodamnia argentea, 2392 nucleotides. It is a transcript of the gene named putative bifunctional dihydrofolate reductase-thymidylate synthase, with no coding region annotated. Lineage: Eukaryota; Viridiplantae; Streptophyta; Magnoliopsida; Myrtales; Myrtaceae. The transcript has 11 exons. The record is from RefSeq and is a predicted model, not a curated record.
AUGAAGUGCCAGAAAUUAUUGCACAUAGCAUUUUAAGAUUUGUAAAGGUUUGGUUUAAUAAGCAGACCUGUGUUAUGUCCAGCUGCUGCUUCAUUUGUAACCCCUGUAACUCUCUCAAGCGCCCCCCGUGGGAAAACGAUCUUCCCUCGAAUGAAGCUCGAGUCGCUUCCCAGACGCAGACGGUAGUAUUCGCAUCUCGGGCCUCGUCCUUCUCUUUCACCAAGACUGGUGCAGCUUACUCAACAUCUCAUCCCUCCCUGGUCGUACCCAUCGCUUCCAUUGUCAUGGUUCUCCUUUCUUCUCAUAAAGUUGGCUUCUAUGUCACCAGUCUCGUGUUGAGAUCCUCGACUUGGUUCGGAAUUCGUAGUGCUGUAGCCAAGCGCGAGUCCUCCUGCUGGCAGUAUUCAGUUAUGGCUAGUAAAAUUGAUGGCGGUGGAGAUGCUAAUGUGCGUGAUGCGAGCAAGAGAAGUUACCAAGUUGUCGUGGCCGCGACUCGCGACAUGGGCAUCGGGAAGGAUGGGAAGUUGCCAUGGAAGUUGCCUUCGGAUCUCAAGUUCUUCAAGGAGCUUACAUCUACUACCUCGGAUCCGAGAAAGAAGAACGCGGUAUUGAUGGGUAGUAGGACUUGGGAGAGCAUCCCUCUCCAGUUUCAGCCUCUAUCUGGGCGGUUGAAUGUCAUAUUGACCCGCUCCGGGAGGGUGGAGACUGAAUUGUCUGAGGAUGUUGUUUUAUGUGGAAGCAGGGCAUCAGCUCUUGAGUUGCUUGCGUCAUCUCGCUAUUGUUCAGCAAUAGAGAAUGUGUUUGUCAUAGGAGGUGGCCAGUUACUGAGGGAAGCGCUAAAUGCUCCGGAUUGUGUUGCUAUACAUAUUACUGAGAUUGAGGAUCAUGUUGACUGUGACACCUUCAUUCCCUCUAUCGAUUUGUCUGUGUUUCGGCCAUGGUGCGCAUCUCCUCCAAUGGUGGAAAACGAUAUCAGACAUUCCUUUGUGACCUAUGUUCGCAUGAGGGAUUCUCAACUGGAGCACCCUGCAUCAGGCACAACGACCAACUUUUGUGAUGCUUCAAAUUUCAGAAGCUUUGACUUCCUUCCAAAGCUGAUUCUUGACAGACAUGAGGAGUACGUGUAUUUGAAUCUGAUUCAAGAAAUUAUAUCAAGCGGGAAACAUAAAACUGACAGGAGUGGGACUGGCAUUCUGUCAAAAUUCGGCUGUCAGAUGAGGUUCAAUCUUAGGAAAUCUUUUCCUCUCUUUACUACGAGAAAGGAGCUGUUAUGGGGUGAAAUUGUUGAAGAACUCCUCUGGUCAGUCAGUGGUUCAGCUGGUGCAAAGGUUCCACCAGAGAUGAUCGUUCACACUUGGGGUGGCCGAGAACACCUUAAAAGUUUGACAUAUAGGGAAGAAGAUGAUUCGGAGGCAAUGUUCAAAUUUCAGCAUAGACAAUUAUGUGCAAGAUUUGAAUGUGAGCAUGCUGAGUACAAGGGCCAAGGGCUUGACAAGUUGCUUAUGGUUAUUGACAAUAUCAAUAAACGAUUGGAUAGUGCACUUGUCAUCCUCUCAGUAUAUGAUCCCUUGGAUCCGAAAGUCAGAGAAUGUCCACCUGGUUACACGUUUGCACAGUUUUAUGUGGAGAAGGGGGAACUUUCCUGUCGAAUAUGCUGGGCAUCAGCUGAUGUUGGUCAUGUGGUUCCAUAUUAUAUAGCAUCUUAUGCUCUCUUGACCUGCCUGAUCGCUCAUGUCUGCAGCUUUCUCCCUGGUGACCUAACUGCCGAACUUGGGGAAGCAUAUGUUCAAGAAGCUCAUAUCAAGCCACUCCAAGAGCAGCUUCGGAGACAUCCUAAACCUUUCCCUGUAAGGAAUGCUGAGUCAGGCUAAAUUCUUUACUACGUGAGAUAUGCUAGUGUUUCCUGGAAGUUACAUGAUCUCAUUAUGCUCGUCCAGAAGUAAACCAUCUGCAUUUUAUUCUGGGUCAUGUGUACACUGAUGAAGUGUGAGCUACAGAAUUUGCAAUUUUGAGGGUCAACCCUAGAAAGAAGGAUAUCGAUUCAUUUGUUGUAUCGGACUUUGAACUUACAAACUAGCACUCUCUCGGAUCAAUAGAGAAGAUGGUGAUGUAGAGCUGAAAGAAGGGGUACGAAGAGAAUUCGAAGCACCAUCUCCUCAAGUGCAAUGUAAAGUCGUCUCUCUUAUAAGCUGGAGCGACAAACUUUGAACAGUUAUUCGUCUCUUUUAGUGUCUUGAGGUUGAAACUACUUUUUUUCCCCUACCGUUUAUGAAGUUGCUAUCGUUCUCUUGUUCUAUACAAGUCCUCAUACUUAGGUAGGAGGAGCAACUUUGUGUGCUCUCUCAAUUUUUGUGAGAAUACAUGUGCAUAAAAUGCAGAAAGUUAAUCUGGU